RNAcentral lists this ribosomal RNA (253 nucleotides) under uncultured bacterium. RNAcentral describes it as "partial 16S ribosomal RNA". It matches the Rfam family "Bacterial small subunit ribosomal RNA", at positions 524 to 776 of the family's 1533-position model. The record is from RNAcentral.
GACGGAGGGGGCAAGCGUUGCUCGGAAUUACUGGGCGUAAAGGGCGCGUAGGCGGGAUGGCAAGUCGGUCGUGAAAUCCCUCGGCUCAACUGAGGAUCGUCGAUCGAUACUGCCGUUCUUGAGGAUUGCAGAGGAGACUGGAAUUCCCGGUGUAGCGGUGAAAUGUGUAGAGAUCGGGAGGAACACCGGUGGCGAAGGCGGGUCUCUGGGCAAUUCCUGACGCUGAGGCGCGAAAGCGUGGGGAGCAAACGGG